RNAcentral lists this ribosomal RNA (446 nucleotides) under Amphibacillus sp. F01M010X. RNAcentral's name for it is "bacterial SSU rRNA". It matches the Rfam family "Bacterial small subunit ribosomal RNA", at positions 95 to 526 of the family's 1533-position model. RNAcentral also lists the same sequence under 10 other names. The record is from RNAcentral. Lineage: Bacteria; Bacillati; Bacillota; Bacilli; Caryophanales; Bacillaceae.
GCGGCGGACGGGUGAGUAACACGUGGGCAACCUACCUGUAAGACUGGGAUAACUUACGGAAACGUGAGCUAAUACCGGAUAGUUUCACUUCUCGCAUGAGAAGUGAAGGAAAGAUGGCUUUUAGCUAUCACUUACAGAUGGGCCCGCGGCGCAUUAGCUAGUUGGUGGGGUAAAGGCCUACCAAGGCAACGAUGCGUAGCCGACCUGAGAGGGUGAUCGGCCACACUGGGACUGAGACACGGCCCAGACUCCUACGGGAGGCAGCAGUAGGGAAUCUUCCGCAAUGGACGAAAGUCUGACGGAGCAACGCCGCGUGAGCGAAGAAGGUCUUCGGAUCGUAAAGCUCUGUUGUUAGGGAAGAACAAGUACCGGAGUAACUGACGGUACCUUGACGGUACCUAACCAGAAAGCCACGGCUAACUACGUGCCAGCAGCCGCGGUAAUAC